This is a small nucleolar RNA of Cucurbita maxima (winter squash), 164 nucleotides long. RefSeq annotates it as small nucleolar RNA snoR138. The transcript has a single exon. The record is from RefSeq and is a predicted model, not a curated record. Lineage: Eukaryota; Viridiplantae; Streptophyta; Magnoliopsida; Cucurbitales; Cucurbitaceae.
UCAGCCUUCGAAUAACUAGAAGGUGCGAAUUAUUAUCAACACCGUCUGGUUCAGACAAAGGCUUACAUCAAUCGAUCGGAAUUAAUAUUAUUCCGUUUCCGAAUCUGUUUGAGGGAGUCGAACGCUUUUUCUUUCGUUCCUCUCCUAGAUAGCUUCGGACAUAU